Molecule: ribosomal RNA, 94 nt
Filed under: uncultured bacterium
Lineage: Bacteria
Description: partial 16S ribosomal RNA
Rfam family: Bacterial small subunit ribosomal RNA
Source: RNAcentral
CCGCCCGUCACAUCAUGAAAGCCGGUUGUACCCGAAGUCCACUCUGCUAACCGCAAGGAGGCAGUGGCCGAAGGUAUGGCUGGUGAUUGGGAUG